ACUGCCUUUCGAAAUAAACAUUGAUUUAUUCUUCUGUCCCAUUUUGGCUCCUGGUCGGUUCAAAUUACAAAUAAUAUAUUUACUAGCAGAGGUUCUGGAAAUCACAAAACUGUGGACAUAGCUAUGCUCUAUGAACUCCACUACUGCCAUGCCUUGCACGGGUUUUAAAUAAUAGUAUGGCGCUUCUGUUAUGGUAUCGUGCAAGUUCGAGUAAGCAAAGUGAUCGAAUGGAAUUCAAUAAUUAUUUAUUGGUCUCACCUGGGUUUUAACUUUCUCAUUUUGGCUCAUCGGUAUUAUGGCUCAUCUGUAUUGUUGUAUUGUUGUGCAGGAAAAUUGUAUCAACUUUGAUUGGUCUCACAUGGAUCUCAUCUGCCAUUUUGGCUCAUUUGCUGGGAAAUAGGAGGAUCAGCAUUAAGCAUGGAACAAGGUUCAGAUCUUGAAGAGUCACAAUGAGAUUUAGGUGCACAUUUGUUUGACAUCGCACAAUUAAUUUUCCACUACGCUCAAAUUGUGUAGCUUGAUAGAUAUGGGUGCGUGUUUGCCAGCUGCAUGUAUGUUAUUUGUACAAAUGAUCGGCAUGAAAAAGCUUGAUAUAAGCUACAAACUAAAUUCCUGAAACUUUGUUCUAAUAUUCAGGACCGGUCUUCAGAGCAGCUGCCAUUUUCUCGGAAAAGUUCAUGACUAAAAUUUGAUGUUCAGGAGAAUUAAUUUCAUUGUAAAGCUGUCAUUGACUUGUCGUUCAUCUCAAAGUUCAGGAGAAUCUGAAUGCAUGUUCAGGACUAUGAAAUCUGAUGCACAUGUUCAGGGUGGGAAAUCUGGAACCUGAAUCUGAUGUUCAAGCUAGCACUGAUGUAUGCUCACUGGAAUUUUAUUAGCUUAAAACUGCUCGUUGCUCCAUUUGAUGAACUGAAUCUAACAUUGCGUCAAAUGAGCCAAAGAUUUACUCGUUGCUGCAAAUUUUAAUGUAGUUUUAACUUUGUUCAGGACUGAAAUCCAAAUGUGAAACUGAUACAAAGCUAGCACUGAUGCAUGUUCAAGCUAGUCUACACAUGGACAGUGAAAUCUGUAUCUA
This 1072-nucleotide long non-coding RNA is filed under the name Triticum aestivum (bread wheat). RNAcentral describes it as "long non-coding RNA (TAES_LNC017132)". The record is from RNAcentral. Lineage: Eukaryota; Viridiplantae; Streptophyta; Magnoliopsida; Poales; Poaceae.